ACGAACGCUGGCGGCGUGCUUAACACAUGCAAGUCGCACGGUGAACUCCGCUUGCGGGGGGAUCAGUGGCGAACGGGUGAGUAACACGUGGGCAACCUGCCCUCAGCUCUGGGAUAACUCCAAGAAAUUGGGGCUAAUACCGGAUAUGACCGCUGACCGCAUGGUCUGGUGGUGGAAAGAUUUAUCGGCUGGGGAUGGGCCCGCGGCCUAUCAGCUUGUUGGUGGGGUAGUGGCCUACCAAGGCGACGACGGGUAGCCGGCCUGAGAGGGUGACCGGCCACACUGGGACUGAGACACGGCCCAGACUCCUACGGGAGGCAGCAGUGGGGAAUAUUGCGCAAUGGGCGAAAGCCUGACGCAGCGACGCCGCGUGGGGGAUGACGGCCUUCGGGUUGUAAACCUCUUUCAGCAGGGACGAAGCGAAAGUGGCGGUACCUGCAGAAGAAGCACCGGCCAACUACGUG
This 464-nucleotide ribosomal RNA is filed under the name uncultured bacterium. RNAcentral's name for it is "partial 16S ribosomal RNA". It matches the Rfam family "Bacterial small subunit ribosomal RNA", at positions 29 to 507 of the family's 1533-position model. The record is from RNAcentral.